RNAcentral lists this ribosomal RNA (254 nucleotides) under uncultured bacterium. RNAcentral's name for it is "partial 16S ribosomal RNA". It matches the Rfam family "Bacterial small subunit ribosomal RNA", at positions 524 to 776 of the family's 1533-position model. The record is from RNAcentral.
AACGUAGGAGGCGAGCGUUAUCCGGAUUUACUGGGCGUAAAGCGCGUGUAGGCGGUUUCAUAAGUCGGGCGUGAAAGCUCCCUGGCUCAACCGGGAGAGGUCGUGCGAUACUGCGAAACUUGAGUCAGGCAGAGGCAAGUAGAAUUCCGGGUGUAGUGGUGAAAUGCGUAGAUAUCCGGAGGAAUACCAGUGGCGAAGGCGACUUGCUGGGUCUGUACUGACGCUCAGACGCGAAAGCAUGGGGAGCGAACGGG